RNAcentral lists this ribosomal RNA (632 nucleotides) under uncultured bacterium. RNAcentral's name for it is "bacterial SSU rRNA". The stretch from base 1 to 535 matches the Rfam family "Bacterial small subunit ribosomal RNA", at positions 338 to 873 of the family's 1533-position model. The record is from RNAcentral.
CCUACGGGAGGCAGCAGUGAGGAAUAUUGGACAAUGGGCGCAAGCCUGAUCCAGCCAUGCCGCGUGCAGGAUGACGGUCCUAUGGAUUGUAAACUGCUUUUAUACGGGAAGAAACCCUGGCUCGUGAGCCAGAUUGACGGUACCGUAAGAAUAAGGAUCGGCUAACUCCGUGCCAGCAGCCGCGGUAAUACGGAGGAUCCAAGCGUUAUCCGGAAUCAUUGGGUUUAAAGGGUCCGUAGGCGGUUUAAUAAGUCAGUGGUGAAAGCCCAUCGCUCAACGGUGGAACGGCCAUUGAUACUGUUAGACUUGAAUUAUUAGGAAGUAACUAGAAUAUGUAGUGUAGCGGUGAAAUGCUUAGAGAUUACAUGGAAUACCAAUUGCGAAGGCAGGUUACUACUAAUUGAUUGACGCUGAUGGACGAAAGCGUGGGUAGCGAACAGGAUUAGAUACCCUGGUAGUCCACGCCGUAAACGAUGGAUACUAGCUGUUGGGAGUAAUCUCAGUGUGUAGACGAAGUAGAGUAAGUAGUACCACCGUCGGGAGGUACGGUUCGUCGAAGAAGUUAGAAACGUAACGAAAGGAAAGUUAGUUACGGCGUUGAGACGAGCGACGGACGACGACGAGGGAGGAGG